GAAAGCCCAGUAGACGAAACGGCACUCUCUCAGUUCAGGAUCCUGAGUACGGCGGGACACGUGAAACCCCGUCGGAAGCAGCGAGGACCAUCUCGCAAGGCUAAAUACUCCCUAGUGACCGAUAGUGAACCAGUACCGUGAGGGAAAGGUGAAAAGCACCCCGGGAGGGGAGUGAAAUAGUUCCUGAAACCAUGUGCCUACAA
RNAcentral lists this ribosomal RNA (203 nucleotides) under Lactiplantibacillus plantarum. RNAcentral's name for it is "Lactobacillus plantarum partial 23S ribosomal RNA". It matches the Rfam family "Bacterial large subunit ribosomal RNA", at positions 366 to 569 of the family's 2925-position model. Lineage: Bacteria; Bacillati; Bacillota; Bacilli; Lactobacillales; Lactobacillaceae. The record is from RNAcentral.